GUCCCAGAGAUGUGCACAGACAAGGAAGACAUGGAAGAUGACGACUAUAUUAUUCCUGUCUCAUCACUCGAGAGCCCAGCACAAGUCAAAGUUCCAGCAAAGUAUGCAGAUGAAGAUUACGUUAUACCACAGGAGGUUCCGCAAGUGAAAGAAGAGGAUGACGGGAUCUACAACAAUGUCGAUUGCAAUAUAUAUGCAAAUAACUGAAAUACACUUUGAUAUACUGUUAAGAGCUUCAGGUUAGAUAUAGUUAUAUAUGCAUAAGCUUAUGAACUUUUUUCACCAGUCUUAAAGAUAAAUUCUG
This 304-nucleotide long non-coding RNA is filed under the name Astyanax mexicanus (Mexican tetra). Its description in RNAcentral is "lncRNA (ENSAMXG00005019286.1)". Lineage: Eukaryota; Metazoa; Chordata; Actinopteri; Characiformes; Acestrorhamphidae. The record is from RNAcentral.